RNAcentral lists this ribosomal RNA (492 nucleotides) under uncultured bacterium. Its description in RNAcentral is "partial 16S ribosomal RNA". It matches the Rfam family "Bacterial small subunit ribosomal RNA", at positions 29 to 507 of the family's 1533-position model. The record is from RNAcentral.
AGUGAACGCUGGCGGUAGGCCUAACACAUGCAAGUCGAACGGCAGCACAGUAAGAGCUUGCUCUUACGGGUGGCGAGUGGCGGACGGGUGAGGAAUACAUCGGAAUCUACUUUUUCGUGGGGGAUAACGUAGGGAAACUUACUCUAAUACCGCAUACGACCUACGGGUGAAAGCAGGGGAUCUUCGGACCUUGCGCGAUUGAAUGAGCCGAUGUCGGAUUAGCUAGUUGGCGGGGUAAAGGCCCACCAAGGCGACGAUCCGUAGCUGGUCUGAGAGGAUGGUCGGCCACACUGGAACUGGGACACGGUCAAGACUCCUGCGGGAGGCAGCAGUGGGGAAUAUUGGACAAUGGGCGCAAGCCUGAUCCAGCCAUGCCGCGUGGGUGAAGAAGGCGUUCGGGUUGUAAAGCCCUUUUGUUGGGAAAGAAAAGCAGCAGGUUAAGACCACGCUGUUCUGACGGUACCCAAAGAAUAAGCACCGGCUAACUUCGUG